UUAGACGGUAGGGUAUUGGCCUACCGUGGCUAUGACGGGUAACGGGGAAUUAGGGUUCGAUUCCGGAGAGGGAGCCUGAGAAACGGCUACCACAUCUAAGGAAGGCAGCAGGCGCGCAAAUUACCCAAUCCUAAUACAGGGAGGUAGUGACAAGAAAUAACAAUACAGAACCUUACGGUUUUGUAAUUGGAAUGAGUUAAGUAUAAACCCCUUAACAAGUAUCAAUUGGAGGGCAAGUCUGGUGCCAGCAGCCGCGGUAAUUCCAGCUCCAAUAGCGUAUAUUAAAGUUGUUGCAGUUAAAAAGCUCGUAGUUAAUCUUCUGUUAAUUUUUAUAUAUAAUAUUUCGAUAUUUAUAUAAUAUUAACAUAAUUCAUAUUACUUUUUAGUAUAUGAAACUUUACUUUGAGAAAAUUAGAGUGCUUAAAGCAGGCUAUUGCCUUGAAUACUCCAGCAUGGAAUAAUAUUAAGGAUUUUUAUUCUUCUUAUUGGUUCUAGAAUAAAAAUGAUGAUUAAUAGGAACAGUUGGGGGCAUUUGUAUUUAACAGUCAGAGGUGAAAUUCUUA
RNAcentral lists this ribosomal RNA (563 nucleotides) under Cryptosporidium xiaoi. Its description in RNAcentral is "SSU rRNA". It matches the Rfam family "Eukaryotic small subunit ribosomal RNA", at positions 321 to 922 of the family's 1831-position model. Lineage: Eukaryota; Apicomplexa; Conoidasida; Eucoccidiorida; Cryptosporidiidae. The record is from RNAcentral.